Mus musculus (house mouse) is the source of this 980-nucleotide long non-coding RNA. RefSeq annotates it as predicted gene, 34045. NCBI's taxonomy places the organism in Eukaryota, Metazoa, Chordata, Mammalia, Rodentia, Muridae. The record is from RefSeq and is a predicted model, not a curated record. The transcript has 3 exons.
UUGUCUGCUGGGUUUGGACCGGCAAGCGGAGACCUGGGACCGUGGGAACAGUGAUGUGGAGUGAAUGCCUGUUUCCUUGGGUGUGAAGACCAUGCCUUGCUACUCUGAGGUUCGGCACUGGGGAAGCAAGAGCUGCUGCCCAUGAGGUACAUUGCUGCUUACCCCUAUCAACACUAGAAGAAAACAGGCCUCAUAGGAUUUUGUGCAGCAUUCCAGGUUGCUUUUUUAUUUUAAUGUUCAGGGCGAAAGGAUAACACCGGGAAAUCGUCACUUUAAGUGUAGGGUUAGUACAAAUUCAGAGAAAAUGAAGCUCACUGUCGAAGGUGAGCUGGGAGCUCCUCCCCUUUGCACCCUCAGUGGGCUCUUGACUCCCCCCUCCUCCCGUGUUUCAGGUGUGGCUCCUCCUCUUUCUUCUUCGCGUCAUUGACAUCCUGCUUUCUCUGCACCUCUGCCUGAACUGCGUCCUGAACUUGGCCGUCAUUACAGAGUGGUGACCAGGAGGGAGCAAGACUCUCUGGUCCACAUCUUGUUUAGGGAGACCAGUUUUGCUCCUAUGUGGGGCAAUGGGCUAUGCACAGACAGCCUGGUCUCCAGUCGAGCUGAGAUCUUGAAUUCCGGACAGUAGGCAUUUGACCAUGUCUCCUAGACCCCUGGCUCCUGUCGAAGUUACCGCUCCCACAGCCCCCACAGGAGAGGCAAGUGGCUUUUAGUCACAUAGACAAUGUCCCAAGUUUCUGACCUUCUGGAUAGACUCCUCCCUACAGUUACCUAGCAACAGCAAGAUAACACAGCCCACUAUAAGAGGGACUGUUUGGCCCCUCCUAGCUCUCUAAGCUUUUACCUCUCCCUCUUAAGCUCUCUUUAAUCUUUCUUACUCUGUAGCUCAUUCUCUCUUUCCCUUCCCUUGCUCACUCCACGUGGCCAUGACCAGUCUCUCUCUCCUUUACCUUCUCUCUUUCCCCUGCCUUUCUACAAUAAAG